This is a long non-coding RNA of Myzus persicae (green peach aphid), 722 nucleotides long. RefSeq lists it as uncharacterized. The record is from RefSeq and is a predicted model, not a curated record. The transcript has 3 exons. Lineage: Eukaryota; Metazoa; Arthropoda; Insecta; Hemiptera; Aphididae.
UGAAGACUCACCGCCGUAAUCGCCGCCGCCACCACAGCUGGCUGUGGACAGGUUCAGGUAACUGCUCGACUUCUGACCGGUCGUCAGUUGCCUGAAAAACAGUAAGCUUCAAUAAUUCAGUUUAGAAAUUCAGAAACUACACAUUGACUGAGAAAAGUUAGACAAAUAUUUGUUAUAGUAUUCUGUGAGGCUGCAUUAUCAAUGUGCAUGGCAUUCAUAAUACAGUGCAAUACAAUAUAAUAAUAUUAUUAUAAUUGUUCAAUACACAUAGAAUUUAUUUAUUCUUUAUUAAGAAUUAUAAUCGAAUACAUUCAAUAUACUGAUACAUUUUUAUCAACCAAACAGAACUCGGCAAGCUAAAUAUGAAUGCAACUCAUAUAUGACAAACACGAGAAAAAAAAAUGGAAUAACUGUACAAUUUGAUUUGAUGAUUGUAUUUACAUUGUAAAAACGCACCUAAUAUAAAUAUAAUGAUAAAAAAAACCUUCAGUCAGAAUUGAUUUUUGUAAACGAGUGCAGACGAUGCAUAUUUAAAUACACUCAACUGACAUAUUUAUACAUAUCUACACUCACAUUCACGUCGUCGUACAACCUACCUACUCGAAGCUGUAGCAUGUCUGAUCAAUAUUGUUCACUAGUACUAUGUAGUAUGUACAUUGUAUUGUCUUAGUGGAUUUAAAAAUUGUAAUAAACCUUAUUUGUAUAUAAUAUUAAUUAAUAAA